Molecule: ribosomal RNA, 1372 nt
Filed under: uncultured bacterium
Lineage: Bacteria
Description: bacterial SSU rRNA
Rfam family: Bacterial small subunit ribosomal RNA
Source: RNAcentral
GAUGAACGCUGGCGGCGUGCCUAAUACAUGCAAGUCGAGCGAACGGACGAGAAGCUUGCUUCUCUGAUGUUAGCGGCGGACGGGUGAGUAACACGUGGAUAACCUACCUAUAAGACUGGGAUAACUUCGGGAAACCGGAGCUAAUACCGGAUAAUAUUUUGAACCGCAUGGUUCAAAAGUGAAAGACGGUCUUGCUGUCACUUAUAGAUGGAUCCGCGCUGCAUUAGCUAGUUGGUAAGGUAACGGCUUACCAAGGCAACGAUGCAUAGCCGACCUGAGAGGGUGAUCGGCCACACUGGAACUGAGACACGGUCCAGACUCCUACGGGAGGCAGCAGUAGGGAAUCUUCCGCAAUGGGCGAAAGCCUGACGGAGCAACGCCGCGUGAGUGAUGAAGGUCUUCGGAUCGUAAAACUCUGUUAUUAGGGAAGAACAUAUGUGUAAGUAACUGUGCACAUCUUGACGGUACCUAAUCAGAAAGCCACGGCUAACUACGUGCCAGCAGCCGCGGUAAUACGUAGGUGGCAAGCGUUAUCCGGAAUUAUUGGGCGUAAAGCGCGCGUAGGCGGUUUUUUAAGUCUGAUGUGAAAGCCCACGGCUCAACCGUGGAGGGUCAUUGGAAACUGGAAAACUUGAGUGCAGAAGAGGAAAGUGGAAUUCCAUGUGUAGCGGUGAAAUGCGCAGAGAUAUGGAGGAACACCAGUGGCGAAGGCGACUUUCUGGUCUGUAACUGACGCUGAUGUGCGAAAGCGUGGGGAUCAAACAGGAUUAGAUACCCUGGUAGUCCACGCCGUAAACGAUGAGUGCUAAGUGUUAGGGGGUUUCCGCCCCUUAGUGCUGCAGCUAACGCAUUAAGCACUCCGCCUGGGGAGUACGACCGCAAGGUUGAAACUCAAAGGAAUUGACGGGGACCCGCACAAGCGGUGGAGCAUGUGGUUUAAUUCGAAGCAACGCGAAGAACCUUACCAAAUCUUGACAUCCUCUGACCCCUCUAGAGAUAGAGUUUUCCCCUUCGGGGGACAAAGUGACAGGUGGUGCAUGGUUGUCGUCAGCUCGUGUCGUGAGACGUUGGGUUAAGUCCCGCAACGAGCGCAACCCUUAAGCUUAGUUGCCAUCAUUAAGUUGGGCACUCUAAGUUGACUGCCGGUGACAAACCGGAGGAAGGUGGGGAUGACGUCAAAUCAUCAUGCCCCUUAUGAUUUGGGCUACACACGUGCUACAAUGGACAAUACAAAGGGCAGCGAAACCGCGAGGUCAAGCAAAUCCCAUAAAGUUGUUCUCAGUUCGGAUUGUAGUCUGCAACUCGACUACAUGAAGCUGGAAUCGCUAGUAAUCGUAGAUCAGCAUGCUACGGUGAAUACGUUCCCGGGUCU